Molecule: long non-coding RNA, 205 nt
Filed under: Solanum tuberosum (potato)
Lineage: Eukaryota; Viridiplantae; Streptophyta; Magnoliopsida; Solanales; Solanaceae
Description: long non-coding RNA (STUB_LNC002165)
Source: RNAcentral
UAGGGGUGAAAAUGUUUUCCUUCAUAGCAAACACACCCUAAAACAUGCUUAAUGCACUUUAAGCAAUGUCAAUACUAGUACAUGAUUUGCUUAUCUUAGACUAUUAUUUAUUAUCCAAUAUAAAAUUAAACAAAUAAAAAAAAUAUAAUUAGAAUUAACAAAAGAAAUGUACAUUUAAAAUAGAUAUUUUUGGAGGGCCAAAGAC